AGCAGCUGGAACUCUUACUUCCUUCUUCACAUCUGACAAGGAGAGAGUCUGUUCUCAGAAACUCCUGGGCAUCAGAUGACCGGCAUUUUGGGGCUAUGUGUUAUUUCUUCUGUGAUUGUGCCAUGUAGAGGAUCCCUUCUAUUUUCAUAGUUGAUGUAUGUUCGCUGUCUUCUUCAGUGUGUAGCCAACCACUGUGAAGGCACAUUAUUUCGUCCCUUCUACUGAGAUGGCUGAAGACUCAGCAGGCCUUCCUUCUGAUUAUCAGUUUUGGAUGCAGAAGCUUUCUGUCUGGACUCAGGCCUCCACUUUGGAAACCCAGCGAGACAUCUGCCUUCACCUGCCACAGUUCCAGGAGUUCCUGAGGCAGAUGUAUGAAACCUUGAAAGAGAUGGAUUCAAAUACAAUCAUUGAAAGAUUCCCCACAAUUUGCCAGCUGUUGGCAAAAUCUUGCUGGAGUCCUUUUAUCUUAGCUUAUG
This is a non-coding RNA of Odocoileus virginianus texanus, 476 nucleotides long. NCBI's taxonomy places the organism in Eukaryota, Metazoa, Chordata, Mammalia, Artiodactyla, Cervidae. The record is from RefSeq and is a predicted model, not a curated record.